Molecule: ribosomal RNA, 98 nt
Filed under: Photobacterium kishitanii
Lineage: Bacteria; Pseudomonadati; Pseudomonadota; Gammaproteobacteria; Vibrionales; Vibrionaceae
Description: partial 16S ribosomal RNA
Rfam family: Bacterial small subunit ribosomal RNA
Source: RNAcentral
ACUUUAAUUGAAGAGUUUGAUCAUGGCUCAGAUUGAACGCUGGCGGCAGGCCUAACACAUGCAAGUCGAGCGGUAACAGAAAAGAAGCUUGCUUCUUU